GAUGAACGCUGGCGGCGUGCCUAAUACAUGCAAGUCGAGCGAACAGAUAAGGAGCUUGCUCCUUUGACGUUAGCGGCGGACGGGUGAGUAACACGUGGGUAACCUACCUAUAAGACUGGGAUAACUUCGGGAAACCGGAGCUAAUACCGGAUAAUAUUUCGAACCGCAUGGUUCGAUAGUGAAAGAUGGUUUUGCUAUCACUUAUAGAUGGACCCGCGCCGUAUUAGCUAGUUGGUAAGGUAACGGCUUACCAAGGCGACGAUGCGUAGCCGACCUGAGAGGGUGAUCGGCCACACUGGAACUGAGACACGGUCCAGACUCCUACGGGAGGCAGCAGUAGGGAAUCUUCCGCAAUGGGCGAAAGCCUGACGGAGCAACGCCGCGUGAGUGAUGAAGGUCUUCGGAUCGUAAAACUCUGUUAUUAGGGAAGAACAUACGUGUAAGUAACUAUGCACGUCUUGACGGUACCUAAUCAGAAAGCCACGGCUAACUACGUG
Molecule: ribosomal RNA, 497 nt
Filed under: uncultured bacterium
Lineage: Bacteria
Description: partial 16S ribosomal RNA
Rfam family: Bacterial small subunit ribosomal RNA
Source: RNAcentral